CUGGCUGUAAACGAUGUUCACUAGGUGUAGGAGGUAUCGACCCCUUCUGUGCCGCAGCUAACGCAAUAAGUGAACCGCCUGGGGAGUACGGCCGCAAGGUUGAAACUCAAAGGAAUUGACGGGGGCCCGCACAAGCGGUGGAGCAUGUGGUUUAAUUCGACGCAACGCGAAGAACCUUACCAGGGCUUGACAUCCCUUGCUGUCUGUAGAAAUACAGAGUUCAGCUUGCUGACAAGGAGACAGGUGG
RNAcentral lists this ribosomal RNA (247 nucleotides) under uncultured bacterium. RNAcentral's name for it is "partial 16S ribosomal RNA". It matches the Rfam family "Bacterial small subunit ribosomal RNA", at positions 796 to 1041 of the family's 1533-position model. The record is from RNAcentral.